UUAGGUUUAAGAUGAUCCAAUGUUUAUCCCUAACAGGUGUCGCUACCGGGAUUUCACGAUAACGGAAUCGGGACUAAAGAGAUGCCAAAGAGAGGCAACGUUAGAAGAGUCGCCACCGAAUUUUAUUUAGUUUACCUCUAUCGGAGAGGAAAGGGGAAAUAGUCGAUAAAACCCUCGGAAAAGAGACGCGCACGGGAAGCACUAAAAGAGAAUAAGGAAUCGGUCUCGCAACCGAGAUUUGGGUUCGGAAGUCGGUUACGUAAGGGAAAGGUAUUAGCACCCCUUAUGUCCAUGGUACUCCAUGGGAACCAUUUGGGUUGUUUUACAUACAUGGGAUUUAUCUAUUAUUGUUUUAUUUUCGAAAGAAUGUGUGAGAGAAAGGGAUGUUUUUGUUAUUAUAGUGCUCGCCAAGGAUUUGGGCCCUUGUGCCUACGUAUCACUUAUUCGGGGAUGAGGAAUCAGAGCUUCGUAGUUCGGAGUAGAAAAAAUUUGUGUAUUGGUUGAUUUUACCUUUGAGAAAAGGGUUUUCAGGAUGAUGCCCUAAGGCACAAAAAUGAGUUUGAUGAGUUGUAUUGUUUUUUACCUUGAAUAAGAGUUUUAUGAAAGAAUGUUUAUGAUUAUUUUGUACUAAAGUCUAUGGGCGGAGGUGAUUAUUCUAGACAACAAGCCAAGCGUCUUGCGUCCAAAAUAAUCAGAGUAAGGGUAGGAAUGCUCAAUUCUCUCUCAUUCUCCACCACUUAAGGCUCGUGGCGCACAAUAAUAAUCAUUAUUAUUAAGUGUUUUGAAUUUGAUUAUAAAAAUGCCACUUGACGUUAAAUCAAGGGUUUGUUUUAUUUAAUUAUGAAAUUUGGCUUAUGCAACAUGAAUGUAAAGUAACCAACAAGAACUUAAAGGGUCUCAUUGUAAGGUAGCCCAAGAGAAAGUCUUUUGUGUGCAAAAGUGACCUAAGUUAAACAAAGGAUAAUGGUCUUACAAACAUGUCCCCCUAAGGUGGUGCCAUGAUGCCAUUCUUACAAUAUGCAUGUAAGUUACGGAUGAAAAUCCAAGUGUUUACAAAGUAUCACAAAGAGUAAAGGAAGGCUUCCAAGCAAAGGUCCUAAGAUGAAAUCCUUUAAGUCCAAGUUGGUUAAGAAUGGAGUGAAUAUUUUUGUUCUUUAUCAUUUUAUCAUGUUUUUUGUUAUUUUUAAUGUAUGAUGACAAUAAGAUAAAUAACAAGUAAAUAAACAUGCAUGAUGAGUUUGUAUAAUGAUAAUGAUAAUGAGUACUUGAAUGUAAAUUACAAGGUAAUGACAUAAAAGUAAAUCACAAGAUAAAGGAUGGUAAUAUCACAAUAAUAAUGGUUAGUGAAUGUAAAUGAACAAUAAAAUAAAUUGCAAGGAAGUAAAGUGCAAUAAUGUAAAUGUUAGAAGUUAGUGGUUAAUGGUUAGUAACAAUAAAAUAAAUUGCAAGGAAUUAAAGUGCAAUAAUAUAAAUGUUAGUAGUUAGUAGUUAGUAGAAUAAUAAUAAGCAAAUGGAUUAGCAAGUCAAUAUAGAGAAUAUGGUUUCAUCUAUGCAUCAAAUGACUCAAAUAUGCGUGAAAUAGAGGCAAUUUAUCAAUGCCUCAAAGUAUCAUGAAUGAUCUAUUGAUCAACCAUUAAUAGGUUUGAAACAUUGAAGAUUUAAUCAACUCUAAACAACCAUGGCCAUGAUCUAAUAAAACUCAUCAACCAAAUAAAUGUAACAACAAGUCAACAAUAAAUAUUAAAUGAUAACAAGAAAUAAGGUUUGAUUGAAAAUGGUGGAUAAAAAAUAGUAAGAGCAAAAAAAUCCCCAAAAGGGUGUAAAUCCAACAAAAACCACUUGUCUCAAAGACUCAAAUCUCUCUCAAAAUACAACCCAAGAGUAAAAAUCCAUUUUCAAACACAAAACAAAACCAAAAAUGUUAAGGAGUUUGAGUCCAAAAUAUUACCAAGAUGGUGGUGUCAAAACUAGGUUAUUGUUGUGUUUGGGUUUGAGAAUGAAGCAAAAAGCUUGGAAGAGGGUGGUUAUGGUUGUUGUGGUAGAAAAAUGGAAGGGAAGGAAGUUGUAUGUUUAUGUGGUGGUGGUGAAUGAUUAUGUAAGUGAAGAUUACAAGUUUGCUACUUUUGUUGUGUGGAGAUGGUGAAUUUUUUACAUGGUGGUUGGGUGGUUCAAAGAAGAAAAUAGGGUUUGGAUGAGUUAGGGUUUAGGUUGAAAAGAGGGAGUUUGAAUGUGAUUUGGGCAGAGGUUUUGUGGCUUUCAAGCUUGAAAAAUGAGUGGGGAUAGUGCUCUAUUAUAGAGGAAGCAAAGGGGUUGAAGUGGGUGAACCAAAAGGUCCUUUGGGUAAAAAACAGAGUCAUUUCUGCUGCCUGCGCAGGUGUAAUCGGUUACCCUGAUUAGGGUAAUCGGUUACACAGUCCCAAAAUGGCCAAAAAAUCAGUUUUUGGUCUGGGUAAUCAGUUACCCUGAUUAGGGUAACCGGUUACCCAAUUUAUUUAUUUUUUUGAAAUAAUGAAUGUACGCAUGUGCAGUAGGGUCAUGGAUUAGAUGAAAAUUGUAUCGGGGUAGGGUGAAUUUUGGGGUAUGACAACAGGCAGUGAUUGAUGUGCAUUAUGUUUCGGUUCAAAGAACCAAUGUAUGAUAUGUUUUAGGUUUGAAAGGACCAGUAUUAGCCUUAACCAACAAAGUUGAUAAUUGGUGUAAGAGGCUCAGAUAAAGAUUAUCUGCAUUUGUUUGAUCAUGUAUCAUGUAUAUCGAAGAUUAGCUUAAGACUUUGGUCCAGUGUUUAGGACUUCGGUUCAAUGUGAAGGAUCGCUCGGUAAAAUAACUAUGAUAUCCGGACUUAGGUCCAUUGUUUAGGACU
This 2860-nucleotide long non-coding RNA is filed under the name Lathyrus oleraceus (garden pea). RNAcentral describes it as "Pisum sativum (pea) long non-coding RNA (PSAT_LNC032489)". Lineage: Eukaryota; Viridiplantae; Streptophyta; Magnoliopsida; Fabales; Fabaceae. The record is from RNAcentral.